Molecule: microRNA precursor, 58 nt
Organism: Ailuropoda melanoleuca (giant panda)
Lineage: Eukaryota; Metazoa; Chordata; Mammalia; Carnivora; Ursidae
Source: Ensembl
CGCAUCCCCUAGGGCAUUGGUGUAAAGCUGGAGACCCACUGCCCCAGGUGCUGCUGGG